RNAcentral lists this ribosomal RNA (1449 nucleotides) under Triticum aestivum (bread wheat). RNAcentral's name for it is "partial small subunit ribosomal RNA". The record is from RNAcentral. Lineage: Eukaryota; Viridiplantae; Streptophyta; Magnoliopsida; Poales; Poaceae.
AUGGAGGGCGGGGAGCUGGAGGUGGACGCGCUGGAGUACACGCCGACGUGGAUCGUUGCGGGGGUCUGCUCCCUCAUCGUGACCGUCUCCCUCGCCGCCGAGCGGUGCCUCCAUUACCUCGGCAAGACGCUCAAGAAGAAGCACCAGAAGGCGCUCUUCGAGGCUCUCCUCAAGGUGAAGGAAGAGCUGAUGCUUCUGGGCUUCAUCUCCCUGCUGAUGACGGUGUCCCAAGAUGUGAUCCAGAGGACGUGCAUUCCCCCUAGCUGGACCAACUACCUGCUGCCCUGCAAGAGGAUGGAGGAGCGUUCUGUCGUCGAUCUCGGCGGUCGCCGGCUGCUUCCUAAGAGCGUGCCGCGGUCCGACCAUUGCAAGAACAAGGGAAAAGUUCCUUUGCUGUCACUCGAAGCGUUACAUCAGUUGCACAUUUUCAUUUUUGUUCUGGCUAUCACCCAUGUGAUUUUCAGUGUUCUGACCAUGGUUUUAGGAGGAGCCAAGAUUCGCCAAUGGAGACACUGGGAGGCUGAAAUUCAUAAAAACGAUGCAGGAAACGGACCUAAGAAGUUGACCAACGUUCAACAAUUUGAAUUCAUCAGGGAACGUUUUAAUGGCGUUGGCCAGGAGUCUACGAUGUUGAGCUGGAUGCAUUCUUUUGUUAAGCAGUUUUACGCGUCGGUCACUAAAUCGGACUACGCGACCAUGCGACUCGGUUUCAUCAUGACGCAUUGCCGGGGGAACCUGAAAUUUGGCUUCCACAGAUACAUGGUGCGAGCCUUGGAGGCCGAUUUCAAGAAGGUGGUUGGCAUAAGGUGGUACCUGUGGAUAUUCGUGGUGAUAUUCAUGCUGCUGAACGUCAAUGGCUGGCACACCUACUUCUGGAUCUCCUUCCUUCCUCUCAUCCUCCUGCUGGCCGUGGGCACGAAGCUGGAGCACGUGAUAGCUCAGCUGGCGCACGACGUCGCGGAGAAGCACUCGGCGAUCGAGGGCGACCUGGUGGUGAACCCGUCCGACGAGUACUUCUGGUGCGGUAAACCCAGGGUGAUCCUCUACCUCAUCCACUUCAUCCUCUUCCAGAACGCCUUCGAGAUCGCGCUCUUCUUCUGGAUUCUCACCACCUACGGGUUCAACUCGUGCAUCAUGGACCACGUCCCCUUCAUCGUGCCGAGGCUCGUCAUCGGGGUGGUCAUCCAGCUGCUGUGCAGCUACAGCACCCUGCCGCUGUACGCGAUCGUGACACAGAUGGGGACCUUCUUCAAGAAGGAGAUCUUCGACGAUCACAUCCAGCAGGGGCUGGUGGGGUGGGCGCAGAAGGCCAGGAUGAGGGCAGAGUCAUCCAAGGAUGCUGCUGCCGCUGCCGCCGCCGGAACCACCAGGCACGGCGCCUCCUCCCGGCUGGAGAUGCUGCGGCGAGCCGCCGCCAUGAUGCAGUGCCGCCGCGCGCUGCCAAGGUAG